Molecule: long non-coding RNA, 5465 nt
Filed under: Danio rerio (zebrafish)
Lineage: Eukaryota; Metazoa; Chordata; Actinopteri; Cypriniformes; Danionidae
Description: lncRNA (ENSDARG00000117371.1)
Source: RNAcentral
GAGCGCCGCAGCACGUGUCCAAGUCGUGUGGUCUGCGUGAGAUGUCAGAGGGUGUGAUUGGACGAGGAGUGUUUGGCUCUGCGGUUCUGCCCAGUCGGCCCAGUGUUUCUGCUUCCCCUGAGCAGAGUGACGCGGUCAGCAGAGCAGAUCCUCCGUCAGGGGUGUACGGACACGCUUUCUCCAGCAAACACACAGACUCGGACGCCAGUCCUGAACCACAGCAGCUGCAGGAGAAGGUGAAACUGUGUAAGUUUGCGAGUGAGAAGAUGCGUCAGCAGCGUGUGGAGCAGCAGGAGCCAAUUAAACGCGACGAUACACAUGAUGAAGAUGAAGACGAUGAUGUGAAAGACGUCAACAUGAACGGCUGUGAGUCUCCCUCAGAUGAAUCUCCCUCCAGCCCUAACGGACCAAUCAAAAGCAUCAGCCCCGCCCAUCAGCCCGCCCCUCCGACUGGACCGCCCAAUAGAACCACAGUGCCGCGACUCAGACGAGCAUCUAGUCUGAACAGAAGCAGACCGGCUGCCACACACAGCUGCGAUGAGCUGGUUUCUGGCAGUCCUAAGAAGGAGUCUCAGGAUCAGCUGGAGCUGCGGCCGUUCUCUAAACCGGAGCUGGCGCUGACGCAAAGCUUCAGACUGACCGCUGCAGACGACUGGGAGAAGAAGAUCGAGGGCAUGAACAUGCUGCGCAGUCUGGCUCAGUAUCAUCCUGAUGUGCUGAUGAGCCGCAUUCAUGACGUGUGUCUCGCUCUCAUUCAGGAGGUGCGUAACCUGCGCUCCGGCGUGUCCCGUGUUGCCGUGGUGACCCUGGGCGAGAUGUUUGCGUCCCUGCAGAAGGGGAUGGAUCAGGAGCUGGACGCACCGGUGCGAGCGCUGCUGCAUAAAGCUGGAGAAUCCAACGGCUUCAUCCGCACAGACGUGGAGCGCGCGCUGGACAGCCUGACACAACACUGCACACACACACGCUGCAUACACGCACUGCUGGCCGGAGGACUCGGGUCAGGAAACACUCUCUCUCUCUCUGUGUGUGUGUGCUUACCUCCAGUGUUUAUGACUAUAAUGUGUGUGUGUGUGUUCUCUGACAGUCAUCUGAACGCAGCGGUGCGCAGGUGUACAGCUCAUCAUCUCAGUGUUCUGCUGGAGCGUGUGGGUGCUGCUCGCCUGCUGAGCGGCGCUAAAGACGUGACAGAGCGACUGCUGCCCGCCGUGGCCAAGCUGGCGCAGGACUCCAGUCAGGAGGCCAGGUGAGCUCAUUAGCAUAUAUUUACUUCUGCAUGUUUAGCAGGAGCUGAGGAGGUCAUCCUCUCCUGUUCCUCAUUGGCUGGAAGCGCUGCUUUAUUCACUGUGUUGUAGGCCAUAUUAGUAUGUAAUCAGCCUGUCUAAUCUGUGUGUGUGUGUGUGUGUGUGUGUGUGUGUGUCAGGUACUUCGGCCGGCGGAUGCUGCUGUUUCUCUCCUCUCACCGUGACUUUGAUAAGAUGAUGGAGAAGUUUAUUCCUGCGAAAGACCUGCCGGCCCUCAGAGACGCCGUCUUCACCCUCAAAACCAAGGUGUGCACAAAACACACACUCAUCAGAUCACUACGGCGCUAAUAAUAAGGUCAUAUUUGUGUAGGAAGACUCUUCUGCUCACCGAUGACGCCUUCGUUUGAUUAAAGUCAGCGUGACAGCAGAAUGACCAUGUUGAUUUCACUGGCACACAAGGCUAUUCUGCUGCCUGUGGAGUGAGGCUCCUUCUGUUGUCGUGGGUUUCCAUAGCAACUUUAUAAUAAUAUCCUUAACCACGCCCCUUUUACCAUUAGUUUACAAGAGAGAUGUGCAAAAGAAAGCCCCACCCACUUCUCAAUAUUCAGUUUCAAUUGGAAAUGCUUCAACAUGCUGAAGUAAGCCCCGGCUAGUUGCAGUUCACGCAGACUCUGAAUACAUACUGCCAGUCAGUGGGCGUGUCUUUCGAUCAGUGGGUGUGUCUUUCAAACAGUGGGUGUGUCUUUCAAACAGUGUCUAUGUGGGUGUGUCUGUUAGUAAGUGGGCGUGUCUGGACAGAGGGUGUGUCUAUGUGGGUGUGUCUGUUAGUAAUUGGGCGUGUCUAGACAGAGGGUGUGUCUAUACGGGUGUGCCUGUUAGUAAGUGGGUGUGUCUCAGUAAGUGGGUGUGUCAGGACAGAGGGUGUGUCUAUAGACGAAUCUAUGUCCAUCAGUGGGCAUGUUUGGACAGGAGGUGUGUCUAUGUGGGUGUGUCUGUCAGUGGGUGUAUCCAGACAAAGGGCGUGUCUAUUAGGGCGUGUCUGUCAGUCAGUGGGUGUGUCAGGUCAAAGAGUGUGUCUGUGUGGGUGUGUCUGUCAGUGAGUGUGUCAGGACAAAGGGCGUGUCUAUUAGGGCGUGUCUGUCAGUCAGUGGGUGUGUCAGGACAAAGGGCGUGUCUAUUAGGGCGUGUCUGUCAGUCAGUGGGUGUGUCAGAACAAAGAGUGUGUCUGUGUGGGUGUGUCAGGAAUAAGGGUGUGUCCAUUAGGGCGUGUCUAUUAGCCAGUGGGUGUAUCUCGGUAAGUGGGUGUGUCAGGACAGAGGGUGUGUCUUUAGACAAAUCUUUGUCCAUCAGUGGGCGUGUUUGGACAGGAGGUGUGUCUAUGUGGGUGUGUCUGUCAGUCAGUGGGUGUGUCAGGACAGAGGGUGUGUACAUGUGGGUGUGUCUGUUAGUCAGUGGGUGUGUCUUGACAGAGGGUGUGUUUAUGUGGGUGUGUCAGUCAGUCAGUGGGUGUGUCAGGACAGAUAAUGUGUAUAUAUGGGUGUGUCUGUUUAGUCAGUGGGUGUGUCAGAGACAGAGGGUGGUUUAUGUGGGUGUGUCUGUUGUCAGUGGGUNNNNNNNNNNNNNNNNNNNNNNNNNNNNNNNNNNNNNNNNNNNNNNNNNNNNNNNNNNNNNNNNNNNNNNNNNNNNNNNNNNNNNNNNNNNNNNNNNNNNACACACACACACAGACUCACUCUCACACACACACACUCAUGAGUGUGUGUCCAGCAGGGAUCCGUCUCUCAGUAAAGCGUGCGCUCACAGUCUGGCAGAGCGCAGCGAGUACGUCAAGCAGAUGAAGACGCUCCUCAACUCCAGAGACUUCAGGGAGAGGAUGAAGGCCAUCGAUCAGCUGGUGUGUGACUGUGAGGAAAACCCAGCUCUGGUCAUCGGCAGCCUGUUCCCGGUACACACACACACACACACUCAUCACAUGCUCUGAAGAAACACUCUAGCAGCUUCUGGAAAUCAAUAGAGGUGCUCUUUCUUCCUCACUGGAGCUUUAAUCCCGCUAAUGACUGAAAGUGUAACGAGCAUAGAUGUAGAAUAUAUAGACUGCUGCAGUAUGGGAAGCUCCCGUCUGCAUGAUCUUCUAAUAAUUCAAUGUUUAAAUACCAAUUCUUUACAUACAUGUGGAGUGUAACAGAUGUUGAUGCUGUUUUACAUGCUGAAAAGCCCAACACACAUAACACCUGCAGGUUUGAGCUGAUGCUGUGUGUGUUGUGCUGCAGGUGUUUGACUGUCUGAAGGCGCGUCUGCAGGAGUCUAACAGUAAGGUGAAUCUGCGCGCUCUGGAGGCUCUGCACUCCAUCAUCACUCUGCUCAGAGAUCAUCUUUCUCCAGUGCUCAACAUCCUCAUCCCGGCGCUCGUGGACAAUCACCUCAACUCCAAAAACACACUCGUCUACACGGCGGCGCUGGCGGCACUGCAGGCCCUCACACACAACAUCGGUCAGUGCUACACAACUACAUCAUUCACCACAGCUAUCAGUGCUUAAAGGCAGGACUAUCUAUCAGUCAUUUAGGGCGGGGCUAUCAGUCAUUUAGGGCGGGGCUAUCAGUCAUUUAGGGCGGGGCUAUCAGUCAUUUAGGGUGGGGGUAUUAGUAAUUUAGGGUGGGGCUAUCAGUCAUUUAGGGCGGGGCUAUCAGUCAUUUAGGACGGGGCUAUCAGUCAUUUAGGGCGGGGCUAUUAGUCAUUUAGGGUGGGGCUAUCACUAUUUUAGGGUGGGGUUAUCAGUGAUUUAGGGCAGGGCUAUCAGUGAUUUAGGGCAGGGCUAUCAGUGAUUUAGGGCGGGGCUAUCAGUCAUUUAGGGUGGGGCUAUUAGUAAUUUAGGGUGGGGCUAUCAGUCAUUUAGGGUGGGGCUAUCAGUCAUUUAGGGCGGGGCUAUCAGUCAUUUAGGACGGGGCUAUCAGUCAUUUAGGGCGGGGCUAUUAGUCAUUUAGGGUGGGGCUAUCACUAUUUUAGGGUGGGGUUAUCAGUGAUUUAGGGCAGGGCUAUCAGUGAUUUAGGGCGGGGCUAUCAGUCAUUUAGGGAGGGGUAUCUGUCAUUUAGGGUGGGGCUAUUAGCCAUUUAGGGUGGGGCUAUCAGCCAUUUAGGGUGGGGCUAUCAGUCAUUUAGGGCGGGGCUAUCAGUCAUUUAGGGUGGGGUUAUCAGUCAUUUAGGGCGGGGCUAUCAGUCAUUUAGGGCCGGCUAUCAGUAAUUUAGGGCGGGGCUAUCAGUCAUUUAGGGUGGGGCUAUCAGUAAUUUUGGGUGGGGCUAUCAGUGAUUUAGGGUGGGGCUAUCAGUCAUUUAGGGCGGGGCUAUCAGUCAUUUAGGGUGGGGUUAUCAGUCAUUUAGGGCGGGGCUAUCAGUCAUUUAGGGCCGGCUAUCAGUAAUUUAGGGCGGGGCUAUCAGUCAUUUAGGGUGGGGCUAUCAGUAAUUUUGGGUGGGGCUAUCAGUGAUUUAGGGUGGGGCUAUCAGUCAUUUAGGACGGGACUAUCAGUCAUUUAGGGUGGGGCUAUCAGUCAUUUAGGGCGGGGCUAUCAGUCAUUUAGGGUGGGGCUAUCAGUCAUUUAGGGCGGGGCUAUCAGUGAUUUAGGGUGGGGUUAUCAGUAAUUUGUGGUGGGGCUAUCAGUAAUUUAUGGUGGGGCUAUCAGUAAUUUAGGGUGGGGCUAUCAGUGAUUUAGGAUGGGACUAUCAGUUAUUUAGGGCGGAGCUAUCAGUCCUUAAGCAUUACAUCACCUUAAAUGAAAGUCCUACUGCUGGAGUGUUUUAACCUCUACAUGAGUGUGUGUUCAGCAGUGUGUUGAGCUGUGUUUCAGUGUGUGUUGACUGUAGUGACUCUGUGUGUGUUUCAGACAACAGUCUCCUGCUGCAGCCCUUCUGCUCUAAAGCACAGUAUCUGAGCGGGAAAGCAAAGCUGGACCUGAUCGAGAAAGUAGCAGGUGAGUCUGGAGGAGCUUUAUCAGAAUAAUAAUAAUAAUAAUGUAUUUUUGUUGAUCAUGAGUGUGUGUUAUCAGAUCUGGUGCUAAAUCUGUGUCGCAGUGUGUGUCUAUGUAAAUCAGUGUGAACCUGCUGUGUUAAUCAUCAGUGUGUGUGUGUGUGUGUGUGUGGCAGAGGUGGUGUGUGACCUGUAUCCCCGCAGGCCUCAGCUGGUGGAGCAGAAGACUCUCCCUCUGCUGUGGACUCUGCUGGGCUCUUGCAGUGCU